AGGGUGUUAGCUCAAUUGGAAGAGCGUUCCCCGCCACUGGGAAAGGUACAGGUUCGAGUCCAGGUGCACCCUU
Molecule: transfer RNA, 73 nt
Filed under: Flavobacterium sp. LC2016-01
Lineage: Bacteria; Pseudomonadati; Bacteroidota; Flavobacteriia; Flavobacteriales; Flavobacteriaceae
Description: tRNA-Trp
Source: RNAcentral